CUCCUACGGGAGGCAGCAUUCGGGAAUCUUGGACAAUGGGCGCAAGCCUGAUCCAGCCAUGCCGCGUGCAGGAUGACGGUCCUAUGGAUUGUAUACUGCUUUUGUACAGGAAGAAACCCUUUCACGUGUGGAAGAUUGACGGUACUGUAAGAAUAAGGAUCGGCUAACUCCGUGCCAGCAGCCGCGGUAAUACGGAGGAUCCAAGCGUUAUCCGGAAUCAUUGGGUUUAAAGGGUCCGUAGGCGGUCAAGUAAGUCAGUGGUGAAAGCCCAUCGCUCAACGGUGGAACGGCCAUUGAUACUGCUUGACUUGAAUUAUUAGGAAGUAACUAUAAUAUGUAGUGUAGCGGUGAAAUGCUUAGAGAUUACAUGGAAUACCAAUUGCGAAGGCAGGUUACUACUAAUGGAUUGACGCUGAUGGACGAAAGCGUGGGUAGCGAACAGGAUUAGAUACCCUGGUAGUCCACGCCGUAAACGAUGGAUACUAGCUGUUGGGAGCAAUCUCAGUGGCUAAGCGAAAGCAUUAAGUAUCCCACCUGGGAAGUACGGCCGCAAGGCUAAAACUCAAAGGAAUUGACGGAAUC
Molecule: ribosomal RNA, 582 nt
Filed under: uncultured bacterium
Lineage: Bacteria
Description: bacterial SSU rRNA
Rfam family: Bacterial small subunit ribosomal RNA
Source: RNAcentral